GUAAGUAUCAUCAAUAUUAAUA
This 22-nucleotide microRNA is filed under the name Caenorhabditis elegans. RNAcentral's name for it is "cel-miR-4924". Lineage: Eukaryota; Metazoa; Nematoda; Chromadorea; Rhabditida; Rhabditidae. The record is from miRBase by way of RNAcentral.